AGACAUCCCAGGCACGCGGUUGCUUUCAGGCUUCUUAAGUUAUUUUAUACCCUUACUGACACACAUGAUGAUGAAGCUGUUCUAAAUGGCAUCGCAGGCUUUAGACUGAGAGGACUUGUUCUAGUCACAGAAGCCUGGCUCUGCUCUUGACAACUGGGGAAUGCUUAUUUUUCAUGUUUUGUGAAUCCUCCUGUGUUGCUCUCAGCUAAUUUCGUGGCUGGGAGAGGUUGGAGAAAGCAGGUUGGAGACGCUGAAGACCAGAGGACACUGGACUUUAAGAGAGCUUGAACUGGAACUUGGGGGCUACAGUAAGGAAAUCUUCAGGUACGUUGAACAGUAAGGGUAACAGCAAAGGAUAUAUUUGCUUCCUUCUGUCUUUUCCUGAUAAUGUACUAACAUAACAAGCAUUAUUCACAAUAGCCAAGAUGGGGAAGCAACCCAAGUACCCUUCUACAGAUGAAUGGAUAAAGAAGAUGAGGUGUGUACACACAAUGGAAUAUGACUCAGUCAUUAAAAAAGACAGAAUCGUCUCAUUUGCAACAACAUGGAUGGGCCUUGAGGAUAUGAUGUUAAGUGAAAUAAGCCAGACAAAGACAAACACUGCAUGAUUUCACUCAUAUGUGGAAGAUAAACUAACACAUGGACAAAGAGAACAGAUU
This 659-nucleotide long non-coding RNA is filed under the name Equus asinus (donkey). Its description in RNAcentral is "lncRNA (ENSEASG00005031653.1)". Lineage: Eukaryota; Metazoa; Chordata; Mammalia; Perissodactyla; Equidae. The record is from RNAcentral.